Non-coding RNA from Equus caballus (horse), 455 nucleotides. NCBI's taxonomy places the organism in Eukaryota, Metazoa, Chordata, Mammalia, Perissodactyla, Equidae. The record is from RefSeq and is a predicted model, not a curated record.
AUUAAGUGACAUGUUUUGGAAACAUUGAAUGGUUGGGCCUGGGUGAUUAUAGAGCACCAUUACAGGCCAGGAUGCCAGGCCAGCAGAGAGCUGACCCUGAAGGGCUCUGGAAGCCUUGAUGCGAAAGAAGUUGCAUGCUGAUCUGAAGGUUAUAAGAAGCCAGUGAAGAAUUUCAUCUGGAGGAGUAAGAUGAUCUUAUUUAUUUUAAAAGAUCACACUGCCCUUGAAGUGGACGGUGGACCAACUAUAGCGAGAUUUGGAGAUUAAGAAGCAAAGGAGAUAAACAUGAAUCUCUUCCAGAAGACCCAGGAAAAAUACCAUUGCGACCUGAUGGCUCUGAUUGGGUCACAUAUUCAAGCAUGUAAAGUGUCCAGGACUUCUGUGUGUCCAGAACUCCCUUCUGCAGCAUGUGACAAAAACUGCCCUCCAACUUUGCUGACUUUGUCAGGUAGUCC